UUUUAUGGAGAGUUUGAUCCUGGCUCAGGACGAACGCUGGCGGCGUGCUUAACACAUGCAAGUCGAACGGUAAGGCCCUUUCGGGGGUACACGAGUGGCGAACGGGUGAGUAACACGUGGGUAAUCUGCCCUGCACUUCGGGAUAAGCCUGGGAAACCGGGUCUAAUACCGGAUAUGAGCUCCUGCCGCAUGGUGGGGGUUGGAAAGUUUUUCGGUGCAGGAUGAGUCCGCGGCCUAUCAGCUUGUUGGUGGGGUAAUGGCCUACCAAGGCGACGACGGGUAGCCGGCCUGAGAGGGUGAUCGGCCACACUGGGACUGAGACACGGCCCAGACUCCUACGGGAGGCAGCAGUGGGGAAUAUUGCGCAAUGGGCGGAAGCCUGACGCAGCGACGCCGCGUGG
RNAcentral lists this ribosomal RNA (401 nucleotides) under Dietzia natronolimnaea. RNAcentral describes it as "bacterial SSU rRNA". It matches the Rfam family "Bacterial small subunit ribosomal RNA", at positions 1 to 404 of the family's 1533-position model. Lineage: Bacteria; Bacillati; Actinomycetota; Actinomycetes; Mycobacteriales; Dietziaceae. The record is from RNAcentral.